Molecule: ribosomal RNA, 278 nt
Filed under: uncultured Staphylococcus sp.
Lineage: Bacteria; Bacillati; Bacillota; Bacilli; Caryophanales; Staphylococcaceae
Description: partial 16S ribosomal RNA
Rfam family: Bacterial small subunit ribosomal RNA
Source: RNAcentral
GUGCCAGCAGCCGCGGUAAUACGUAGGUGGCAAGCGUUAUCCGGAAUUAUUGGGCGUAAAGCGCGCGUAGGCGGUUUUUUAAGUCUGAUGUGAAAGCCCACGGCUCAACCGUGGAGGGUCAUUGGAAACUGGAAAACUUGAGUGCAGAAGAGGAAAGUGGAAUUCCAUGUGUAGCGGUGAAAUGCGCAGAGAUAUGGAGGAACACCAGUGGCGAAGGCGACUUUCUGGUCUGUAACUGACGCUGAUGUGCGAAAGCGUGGGGAUCAAACAGGAUUAGA